Molecule: small RNA, 117 nt
Filed under: Marmota monax (woodchuck)
Lineage: Eukaryota; Metazoa; Chordata; Mammalia; Rodentia; Sciuridae
Source: RNAcentral
GCUGGGCUGGGUGAUGUGCUUCUGUGGUCCCAGCUACCUGGGAGGCUGAGACAGGAGGAUCAUUUGAACUCAGGUGUUCAUGGUCCAUCUGGGCAGCAUAGCAAGAUCCUGUCUCAA